AACGAACGCUGGCGGCAUGCCUAACACAUGCAAGUCGAACGAGACCUUCGGUCUAGUGGCGCACGGGUGCGUAACGCGUGGGAAUCUACCCUUGGUUCGGAUAACAGUGAGAAAUCGCUGCUAAAUACCGGAUGAUGACGUAAGUCCAAAGAUUUAUCGCCCAGGGAUGAGCCCACGUAGGAAUUAGCUAGUUGGUGAGGUAAAGGCUCA
RNAcentral lists this ribosomal RNA (210 nucleotides) under uncultured bacterium. Its description in RNAcentral is "partial 16S ribosomal RNA". It matches the Rfam family "Bacterial small subunit ribosomal RNA", at positions 29 to 267 of the family's 1533-position model. The record is from RNAcentral.